UACGGGGGGGGCAAGCGUUGUUCGGAAUUACUGGGCGUAAAGGGCUCGUAGGCGGCCAACUAAGUCGGACGUGAAAUCCCUCGGCUUAACCGGGGAACUGCGUCCGAUACUGGAUGGCUUGAGGUUGGGAGAGGGAUGCAGAAUUCCAGGUGUAGCGGUGAAAUGCGUAGAUAUCUGGAGGAAUACCGGUGGCGAAGGCGGCAUCCUGGACCGGCAUUGACGCUGAGGAGCGAAAGCCAGGGGAGCAAACGGG
This 253-nucleotide ribosomal RNA is filed under the name uncultured bacterium. RNAcentral describes it as "partial 16S ribosomal RNA". It matches the Rfam family "Bacterial small subunit ribosomal RNA", at positions 524 to 776 of the family's 1533-position model. The record is from RNAcentral.